GGGGAAGCAGCGGCGCUGUUGGAGGAGGACGGUGUGUGUGUGUGUGCGCGCGCGGGUGUGUAGAGGUUGCCGGGGGUGGGUGACCUUGGCGACGGUUUGCGGGAAGAUCCGAAUCGCACCAUUUGAUUGAAGCGGCCGCCUCGCUGCUUUGCGGAGGGAGAGGGAUAGAGAUACAGAGAGCCUGUGGGGGCCGCCAUCGCCACCAUGCCCCGCCUGGCCACGGUGCUGUCCCUCUGCUGGACCUGCCUGCUCUUCAGCGCCGGCCUCGGCCUCUUCCUCAGCGGCUUCCUGCUGGUGCGGCUGGAGCUCCGCAGCCCCAGCUCCUGCCUCCACUCCCCCUCCUCCACUCGGGAUUUUAAUUCGUGCUGGAUGCCGAGGCGCUUUUCCAGAGCUGUCGUGGUCGUCAUCGACGCCCUGAGGUUUGACUUUGCCAAGUAUGAUCCUGGAAACACCAAUCCCAAACCGUACGAGAAUAAACUCGAGGUGAUCCAUCAAAACGUCGUUUCUAAACCUCAGCACGCCAGACUGUUCCGUUUCAGAGCCGAUCCGCCCACAACCACCAUGCAGAGGAUUAAAGGGUUGACUACCGGUACCUUGCCUACCUUCAUAGAUGUGGGCAGCAACUUUGCAUCAACAGCAAUUGAGGAAGAUAAUUUGAUCCAACAAUUUGUGCUAAACAAGAAGAAAGUGGUAUUUAUGGGAGAUGACACGUGGGAAGCGCUGUUUCCAAAUAAGUUUGCCCGAUCAUUCCCCUUUUCUUCUUUUAACGUGAGAGACCUUCAUACAGUGGAUGAUGGUAUUCUUCAACAUAUCUUCACAACAGUGGAAGCUGGUGAAUGGGACGUGCUCAUUGCACAUUUUCUAGGCGUUGACCACUGUGGGCAUAGAUAUGGGCCUCGCCACUCAAUGAUGGCAGAAAAGCUCAAUCAGAUGAACCAGAUGCUGAGGUCAUUAAUUGCAACACUUCAAAAUGAUACCUUGUUGGUGGUAAUGGGAGAUCAUGGAAUGACAGAAACAGGAGAUCAUGGGGGUGACAGCGAAGGAGAAGUUGAUGCAGCUUUGUUUAUUUAUAGUCCACUUCCCAUGUUUGAGAUCAAAACUGAAGAUCCAGAGGUCGUGUCUCAGAUAGAUCUUGUACCAACCCUGGCUCUUCUACUUGGGAUUCCUAUUCCAUACAGUAAUAUUGGCAUGGUGAUAGCAGACAUGUUUACCUCUUUACCAAAGCUGGGUGAUGAUCAGUAUCUUGAACAUGCAAAAGCACUUCGCAUUAAUGCCAUUCAGGUGAAUCGAUUUUUGGAAUCUUAUUUUCAAGUAGCUAAGGAUCUUCCCUUGGAAAAGCUAAAUUACCUGAAGCAAUUGUUUUCCACUGCAAUGGCGGAAUACAAUGACCUGAUUACAGACCAACAUGUUUUUGAAAAAUUUAUUCCAAACCAAAACCACCUUGCCAGGAUGCAAAAUCUGAUCAUCACAAUGCGGCGUUACUUGAGGGAGACCAAGGAAAUGUGUCAAGAAUCAUGGGCCCGAUACAACUCUGUGCACAUGCUGUGUGGUAUUAUACUUCUAACAGCAGCCUGCGUACAUUGUUUUCUGGUAUCUGAAAACGUGUCAACUUUUGAAUCCUUACACAGAGUUCUACUUUUCUAUCCAAUUAUCUGGGGCCUGGCUGCAGCGUUAAUAGUCAGUAUCUGGAUGCUGAUAUCUGGCAUUAUGGUAAAGUCUCUGACAUUAUGUUGUUGGGUGGCUGUUGGGUCACAUUUGGGCUUCCAUUGGAAUUUUUGGAGAUCUAAAUACAUUAAGAAUCAAGUUGCAAACAAAUUAUUCCAAAGCUCCAUUGCUGCUAUUCAAGAGAAGUGGCAAAGUUGGUGGAAGAUCUUAAUUCCUUUGGGACUUACCUUAUUACGGUGUGGAGCCAUGUUUUCCAAUAGUUUUGUAGUAAAUGAAGGGCAAGUAGUAUCUUUCCUUUUGAAGUCUAUUGUGACUUUCACAGUCCUAGAACUAAAAUGGAAUGGAAAACUUAAUCAUGGUUUAAAUGUGAUAGACAUGCAUAGGAACCCUAGUUUUGUAACAUAUAAAAGAGAAUCUCUUUACAUAAUUGGAUUACUGGUUACCUUUCUGCUGUGUGUGCUUUGCUCCAAUAACUUUUAUAACUGUCGUGAAGAACUUGCAAAUUGUGAACCCUCUUCCUUCCUCAGGCCUUUGUCAAGUUUAAGUAAUAGGCAAGAAAGGAACGUCCAUUACAUUUUGUCAGUGUUGUCACUUGGAUUCUUGGUCUACCUCAUACGAAAAUGGUUCCUUCAUUACGGAAACCUCAACAGCUCUCAUUUGAUUGUGUUAUUUGUACGUUUGGGUUUCCCUUUUAUCGCUUUUUGCUCAUGCUGCUAUUGGGCUGUAAAUGCUGCCCCUGAAGAAACUUCUGUUAAACUUCAUGAUAUGAAAGAGAAGAUUGUGGUCGUUCUCCCAGGCAUUGUCUUUGGCCUUGUAACAACCGGCUUCUUUAUCGUGCUGUGGAAUCCAAUUACUGUCUUUGUGAAGGAAAAUAGGCAGUCUGAUGAAACUCUUGUCCCUUCCUGUAAAAGCUCUGCUGAAAUGAAAGCAGAUUCUCUACACGUCAUCCCACUGAUAUACCGUAAAAUACAACAAUCAAUGAAAAUAAAUUUUAAUGGUGAUCGGGAUGAAUCUCGGACGGUGGCUGCUUAUGGACUGGGGACUGUAUACUCUGCUGCACUCCUUAUUGUUAUUGUUCUUUUAGCAUUUUUACUUAUUCUGCUUCAUAAUGAGAGAAUGUCACUGGCUUUCCUGCUACUGUUCUUGGAGGGAUUUUCUCUCCUGGAAAUACAUGGUAUGGCAAGGAAUCUUUCAUUACAGACUGAUAACACAGGCUAUUUUACAGUCCCAUGGUAUGCCGUUAUUGCCUGGGUCUUUGCAGCGACACAGUUCUUUUAUGCCACUGGGCAUCAGCCAACAUUCCCAACUAUCCAGUGGAAUGCAGCCUUUGUUGGGUUCUCUGAAGGGCAUAGCACCAAUAUACUGCCAGCAAUAUUGGUUGGAAUGAAUACCUUUGCUUCUCAUAUUCUUUUUGCAGUUAUAUUCUUGAGGUAGUUGGAUGUCCUUUGUUGCUGUUUUGGCCAUUUGUCCGUGAAGUGAAAAACACAAAAAACAAGAGCACCAGAAAGGAGCCUGGAGAUGAGGGGCUGAUGAUGGAGAUGAGGUUGCAAGAAAAUCCUCGGAUGUUUUCCACAGCCUUGCUGCAACUGGGAAUGCGAUACUUAUUCGUCUAUGGCGUGCAGCUUUUGGCUUCUGUGUGUGCAGCUGCCAUAUUAAGAAGACAUUUAAUGGUCUGGAAGAUAUUUGCGCCAAAGUUUCUUUUUGAGGCUUUAGGGUUUAUUGUGAUGAACAUCUACCUUGUUAUCACUUUUUGUUUUGUGAUGCGUGUGGAUGUUGGUGUCAAUACAUGGUUUAAAGGACUCCAGAAGCAGUCAAGGUAGUUGCUGACACCAUUACAAAUGAACUCCAGUGAAGAUUGCUAUAGAUAUUUACAAUGGGACAGAUUGCCAAUCACAUUGAAUACCAAAGGAAAACCAACCUUAACUUAAUUUAAUUAUCUCUAGAUAUAGAAGUUGCCAUUGUAAAAGAAGCACAAAUGACCUUCUUGCCUUCUAUAGCCAUCAAACAAAUGCUGAAGUUCCUUUGUACACACAAGUGAAGAAGGGUUUUGAGCCACUGAAUAAAAGGUAGCUGUCUGCUGUUUCUUGAGGUUGACUAUUACUCGAAAGAAGUUAUUUGUAAAUAAGUGCCAUUUUUAACUCUUGUCUACAUGGUAUGUAGAUGUGACAGCAUAACUUAAAUUACAUUUUUUUUAGUGAAAGACUUCAAGCAUAAAGAUAAACUGCCUCCGGUUUAAUGUUUUGUAAUAUGACAAAUUCCUGUUGUCAUGCAAAUUUAAUUACAAAACCAAACCAGUUGUAGUAUAAUUUUUCAUGUGAAUACUAAAUUUAAAUCUUUAAUGAAGGUUCUUAAUGUUGACAUUUUGCAGAGAUUGUUCCAUUAUAAUGCUGUCAGAUGUAAAAUAGAGUGCAAAUAUUGUGCAAAUCCUUAAAAGAUAUGUUACAUAGUAAUUUCAUUAAUUCAGAUAAAGUGUUUAAAAUGCCAAUGCGAAUACAACAUCUUUGUAUUUGCCUUUGUAUGAACAGAGUAUUUGUCCAAGAAUGCAAUUUACAUUAAGUGUGUUCAUAAUGUCAUAAGGAAUAGGAGUAGAAUUAGGCCUUUCGGCCCAUCAAGUCUACUCUGCCAUUCAAUCACGGCUGAUCUUUCACUCCCUCCUAACUCCAUUCUCCUGCCUUUUCCCCAUAACUAACACCUGUACUAAUCAAGAAUCUAUCUGUCUCUGCUUUAAAUAUAUCCACUGACUCGGCCUCCACAGCCUUCUGUGGCAAAUAUUUCCACAGAUUCACCACCCUCUGACUAAAGUGUUGGAUUUUUCAUCACUCCAAUUUUAAAAAUAAAUAAAUAUCCACUCCAGAUUCUUCAUGUUUCAGCAGCAUAAACAUUCCCAAUUCUGAGAAAAGGUCACAGACCUGAAACCUUGUUUGGUUUUCUUUCCAUUGAUGCUGCUUGAUUGGCCGAGUUCUUAAAGCAUGUUUUUAUUUUCAGAUUCCAGCAGUUUUGUUUUCAGUCCUUUGAGUUUGAAUUAUUUUGGUACGUUUUUAAAUGCAGCAUAAAUUAAUACAUUUUUAAUUACAAUGGCUUAUGUGGGAAGAGCUGCUUUGUAUUAUUGAUAUAUUACAGAAGUGUUGAUCAAAUUUUUUUUUUUCUUCCAAUAGUCAAUUAAACUGUGUGACUGUAGAUAAGUGAUUAGCUGUUUUAAUGCUGUUGCAAUGUUUGUUUGUCUUGUAAAUUCAAUGUUGAUUACUUGUUUAUGAAAUGUCAUACUUUGUUAAUUAAAUUAAAAAAUAAUGAAAAUUAAAAUA
This is an RNA transcript of Amblyraja radiata (thorny skate), 4967 nucleotides long. It is a transcript of the gene named phosphatidylinositol glycan anchor biosynthesis, class O, with no coding region annotated. NCBI's taxonomy places the organism in Eukaryota, Metazoa, Chordata, Chondrichthyes, Rajiformes, Rajidae. The transcript is spliced from 10 exons. The record is from RefSeq and is a predicted model, not a curated record.